AUUGAACGCUGGCGGCAGGCCUAACACAUGCAAGUCGAGCGGAUGAAGGUAGCUUGCCCCUGGAAUCAGCGGCGGACGAGUGGGUAAUGCCUAAGAAACUCCCUGGUAGUCGGGGAUCACGUCCGGAAUAAGGCGCUGAUACCGCAUCCGUUCUGAGGUAGAAAUGCGGGGUGCUUCGUGCGUCGGACAACGAGUUUCUAGUGGUUGGGGUUGGCCAGUAGGUGGGUUAACGGCCUACCAGGGCGACGAUCCGACACGGGUCUGAGGGGUGGCCCAGUCACCCUGGAACUGAGACCCGGUCCAGACUCCUAAGGGAGGCAGCAGUGGGGAAUAUUGGACAAUGGGCGAAAGCCUGAUCCAGCCAGGCCGCGCGCGUGAAGAAGGUCUUCGGAUUGUAAAGCACUUUAAGUUGGGAGGAAGGGCAGUAAGUUAAUACCUUGCUGGUUUGACGUUACCAACAGAAUAAGCACCGGCUAACUUCGUG
This 484-nucleotide ribosomal RNA is filed under the name uncultured bacterium. Its description in RNAcentral is "partial 16S ribosomal RNA". It matches the Rfam family "Bacterial small subunit ribosomal RNA", at positions 30 to 507 of the family's 1533-position model. The record is from RNAcentral.